GAUUCUAUAGUUAAACUUAUAAUAUUAGAUUGCAAGUCUAAAGAUGUAUUGAUAUACUAGGAUUU
This 65-nucleotide transfer RNA is filed under the name Tetraloides heterodactylus. RNAcentral's name for it is "tRNA-Cys". It matches the Rfam family "tRNA". From Rfam's summary of the family: Transfer RNA (tRNA) molecules are approximately 80 nucleotides in length. Their secondary structure includes four short double-helical elements and three loops (D, anti-codon, and T loops). The record is from RNAcentral. Lineage: Eukaryota; Metazoa; Arthropoda; Malacostraca; Decapoda; Tetraliidae.